CUUGGUGACAAUGCGUUUUGGACCCACCUGACCCCAUGCCGAACUCAGUAGUGAAACGAAACAGCGCCGAUGAUAGUGUAGCAGCUGCUAUGUGAAAGUAGGUCAUCGCCAGGC
RNAcentral lists this ribosomal RNA (114 nucleotides) under Pseudoalteromonas sp. S4488. The record is from RNAcentral. Lineage: Bacteria; Pseudomonadati; Pseudomonadota; Gammaproteobacteria; Alteromonadales; Pseudoalteromonadaceae.